Molecule: unclassified non-coding RNA, 324 nt
Filed under: uncultured fungus
Lineage: Eukaryota; Fungi
Description: partial contains small subunit ribosomal RNA, internal transcribed spacer 1, and 5.8S ribosomal RNA
Rfam family: Eukaryotic small subunit ribosomal RNA (bases 1-73)
Source: RNAcentral
GCAAACUUGGUCAUUUAGAGGAAGUAAAAGUCGUAACAAGGUUUCCGUAGGUGAACCUGCGGAAGGAUCAUUACAGUGUUUUGCUGCGGCGCUCCCUAGCCUGCGGGCUAGACCGCGCCGCCAGAACCCCACCCUUGACUACCGAACCACCUGUUGCUUUGGCGGGCCUGCCCCCUGUGCUGCCGGGGUUUGUGCCCCGGCUCGUGCCCGCCGAAGAAAAAAUAUGAACUCUUUUUUGAAUCUGUUGCCGUCUGAGUGGGCUUGCGAAUUGUUAAAACUUUCAACAAUGGAUCUCUUGGUUCCAGCAUCGAUGAAGAACGCAGC